UACGUAGGGUGCGAGCGUUAAUCGGAAUUACUGGGCGUAAAGCGUGCGCAGGCGGUUCGUUGUGUCGGCGGUGAAAGCCCCGGGCUUAACCUGGGAAUGGCCGUUGAAACUGGCGAACUGGAGUGUGGCAGAGGGGGGUGGAGUUCCGCGUGUAGCAGUGAAAUGCGUAGAUAUGCGGAGGAACACCGAUGGCGAAGGCAAUCCCCUGGGCCUGCACUGACGCUCAUGCACGAAAGCGUGGGGAGCAAACAGG
Molecule: ribosomal RNA, 253 nt
Filed under: uncultured bacterium
Lineage: Bacteria
Description: partial 16S ribosomal RNA
Rfam family: Bacterial small subunit ribosomal RNA
Source: RNAcentral